GUACGCAGCGCGUGCCGCGGAGCGCGUGCUCUGAGCACAUGGAAAAGGGCUCGAGACGAAGUAUCCAAAGAAUAACUCCAUCCUGAAAUGGAAUAUCAGUAACAAAAUAAUCAAAUCUGGAGCAAAAGGGACCUUCAGAACAGCUGCUAGUCAGCCUGUCGUUCUCUCAAUGGAAGCCUGAAACCGGAGCCACGAGUGAAUGCCAAACUUUUCAGGAAAAGACCUACAUGUUCUGCCCCCUGUGAGCUGACAACUCCUUACCAUCAAAGUCAACGAUGCCGCUUUGCUGUGAAGAGAUGAAGAUCUGCUGUUGCCUGCGGACAGCUGGGUUUUGUGAAAGAGGGUGAGAUUUAAUCUGAACUUUCCCAUGAUCCUGGUUAUGGAUGUGGAAAUCUCAGAACAUCAGUCUUCAUCAUGCCAGGACUGCAAGCUAGGCUAUAUAUGGACAUGUCUGAUUCAUUCAGACAUUCGCAUUAUGAAUGGACAUGGGUGUCACAAUUCACGUUCCUGGGUGACAGUAACGACUCCAACAAACCUCAACAACUCAUUUCAAUAGUAUCGGUUUGACUAAUCCUUAACCAAGAUGUUGCAGCAAGCUAAGGACACUAUUUAGUUACCCUACUAAAUAGAUUUGAAAAUACACAACAUGUGAGGCAUCCAAUAGGAGGGCAGAAAAAAGAUAGCUGACAGGAAGUAGAAAGAAAAGUG
Onychostoma macrolepis is the source of this 708-nucleotide long non-coding RNA. RefSeq lists it as uncharacterized. Lineage: Eukaryota; Metazoa; Chordata; Actinopteri; Cypriniformes; Cyprinidae. The transcript has 4 exons. The record is from RefSeq and is a predicted model, not a curated record.